This 468-nucleotide ribosomal RNA is filed under the name uncultured bacterium. RNAcentral's name for it is "partial 16S ribosomal RNA". It matches the Rfam family "Bacterial small subunit ribosomal RNA", at positions 28 to 507 of the family's 1533-position model. The record is from RNAcentral.
GACGAACGCUGGCGGCGUGCUUAACACAUGCAAGUCGAACGGAAAGGCCCUGCUUUUGUGGGGUGCUCGAGUGGCGAACGGGUGAGUAACACGUGAGUAACCUGCCCUUGACUUUGGGAUAACUUCUGGAAACUGGGGCUAAUACCCGAUAUGAUCUCUUGCUGCAUGGUGUGGGUUGGAAAGUUUCGGCGGUUGGGGAUGGACUCGCGGCUUAUCAGCUUGUUGGUGUGGUAGUGGCUUACCAAGGCUUUGACGGGUAGCCGGCCUGAGAGGGUGACCGGGCACAUUGGGACUGAGAGACGGACCAGAAGGGUACGGGAGGCAGCAGUGGGGAAUAUUGCACAAUAGGCGGAAGCGUGAGGCAGAAACGCCGCGUGCGGGAUGACGGCCUACGGGUUGUAAACCGCUUUCGCCUGUGACGAAGAGUGAGUGACGGUAAUGGGUAAAGAAGCAACGGCUAACUACGUG